CCUACGGGAGGCAGCAGUGGGGAAUAUUGGACAAUGGGCGAAAGCCUGAUCCAGCCAUGCCGCGUGUGUGAAGAAGGCCUUCGGGUUGUAAAGCACUUUCAGUGGGGAAGAAAGCCUUGGGGCUAAUACCCUCGAGGAAGGACAUCACCCACAGAAGAAGCACCGGCUAACUCCGUGCCAGCAGCCGCGGUAAUACGGAGGGUGCGAGCGUUAAUCGGAAUUACUGGGCGUAAAGCGCGCGUAGGCGGUCUGAUAAGCCGGUUGUGAAAGCCCCGGGCUCAACCUGGGAACGGCAUCCGGAACUGUCAGGCUAGAGUGCAGGAGAGGGAGGUAGAAUUCCCGGUGUAGCGGUGAAAUGCGUAGAGAUCGGGAGGAAUACCAGUGGCGAAGGCGGCCUUCUGGACUGACACUGACGCUGAGGUGCGAAAGCGUGGGUAGCAAACAGGAUUAGAUACCCCAGUAGUC
Molecule: ribosomal RNA, 465 nt
Filed under: Vreelandella stevensii
Lineage: Bacteria; Pseudomonadati; Pseudomonadota; Gammaproteobacteria; Oceanospirillales; Halomonadaceae
Description: partial 16S ribosomal RNA
Rfam family: Bacterial small subunit ribosomal RNA
Source: RNAcentral